GACUAUGGCAAUUAGAAAACCUCCCCUUUGAAUAUCAGGAAGGAGGUAGAGUAAGAGUGAAAAUGAAAGUGGGAGAGGCUACCUCCCCCCCCCUUCCUACCCUAGGACAUUGUAGAAGAAAUUACAAGACGGUGAUUUAUCUCCUUUCAGUUUGGAGAAAUGCUGGGAGGAGAGUAGUGACCUAAAGCAAAAGAAAGGAGAAAUUUGUAAGGGGCUCCCAUCUGAGUGUAUCCCCCAUGGAAUUGAUGGAUCACAGGGUGUUCCAAUGGGCAUUCCCUUUGGACAGCAGGUCAUAAAAGGCAAAAAGGAAAAGCCGGUUCCUCCAGCAGUCAGUAGCACUUGCAACUUGAAUUGAGGACCUCAGUUCUAAUCUGCUCACUGAGGCUU
This is a non-coding RNA of Podarcis muralis (Common wall lizard), 387 nucleotides long. NCBI's taxonomy places the organism in Eukaryota, Metazoa, Chordata, Lepidosauria, Squamata, Lacertidae. The record is from RefSeq and is a predicted model, not a curated record.